AUUGAACGCUGGCGGCAGGCCUAACACAUGCAAGUCGAGCGGCAGCGGGAAAGUAGCUUGCUACUUUUGCCGGCGAGCGGCGGACGGGUGAGUAAUGCCUGGGAAAUUGCCCAGUCGAGGGGGAUAACAGUUGGAAACGACUGCUAAUACCGCAUACGCCCUACGGGGGAAAGCAGGGGACCUUCGGGCCUUGCGCGAUUGGAUAUGCCCAGGUGGGAUUAGCUAGUUGGUGAGGUAAUGGCUCACCAAGGCGACGAUCCCUAGCUGGUCUGAGAGGAUGAUCAGCCACACUGGAACUGAGACACGGUCCAGACUCCUACGGGAGGCAGCAGUGGGGAAUAUUGCACAAUGGGGGAAACCCUGAUGCAGCCAUGCCGCGUGUGUGAAGAAGGCCUUCGGGUUGUAAAGCACUUUCAGCGAGGAGGAAAGGUUGAUGCCUAAUACGUAUCAACUGUGACGUUACUCGCAGAAGAAGCACCGGCUAACUCCGUGCCAGCAGCCGCGGUAA
Molecule: ribosomal RNA, 508 nt
Filed under: uncultured bacterium
Lineage: Bacteria
Description: partial 16S ribosomal RNA
Rfam family: Bacterial small subunit ribosomal RNA
Source: RNAcentral